Molecule: ribosomal RNA, 468 nt
Filed under: uncultured bacterium
Lineage: Bacteria
Description: partial 16S ribosomal RNA
Rfam family: Bacterial small subunit ribosomal RNA
Source: RNAcentral
GACGAACGCUGGCGGCGUGCUUAACACAUGCAAGUCGAACGGAAAGGCCCUGCUUUUGUGGGGUGCUCGAGUGGCGAACGGGUGAGUAACACGUGAGUAACCUGCCCUUGACUUUGGGAUAACUUCAGGAAACUGGGGCUAAUACCGGAUAGGAGCUCCUGCUGCAUGGUGGGGGUUGGAAAGUUUCGGCGGUUGGGGAUGGACUCGCGGCUUAUCAGCUUGUUGGUGGGGUAGUGGCUUACCAAGGCUUUGACGGGUAGCCGGCCUGAGAGGGUGACCGGCCACAUUGGGACUGAGAUACGGCCCAGACUACUACGGGAGGCAGCAGUGGGGAAUAUUGCACAGUGGGCGGAAGCCUGAUGCAGCAACGCCGCGUGCGGGAUGACGGCCUUCGGGUUGUAAACCGCUUUCGCCUGUGACGAAGCGUGAGUGACGGUAAUGGGUAAAGAAGCACCGGCUAACUACGUG